This is a long non-coding RNA of Diospyros lotus (date-plum), 11185 nucleotides long. RefSeq lists it as uncharacterized. The transcript has 3 exons. Lineage: Eukaryota; Viridiplantae; Streptophyta; Magnoliopsida; Ericales; Ebenaceae. The record is from RefSeq and is a predicted model, not a curated record.
AGACGCUUCAAUAUUGAUACAGCAAUAUUGUAGAAGGUAGUUUCUCAGCUUGUUUUCAUGCACUAAUCUCUGUGGCUGCCAUACCAUAACAGUGUAGACAGCUAUCUUUCUACAGUAAGCUUCCCGUUUAUUAUUGUGCUAGGGUACAUAAUAAACCCACAGUUAGUCUCAUUUUCAUUAACAGGUUUUAGUUAUCACACACUUCUUUUAGGAAUAGAACUUCUCUUUCAAAAUAGUUAGAUUUAACAGAAAAAUUCCAGAGUUCGCAUUUAAUAUAUAUACCUAAAAUGAAAAUAUUCUUCCACUCAAAUGUUACCUUAAUCUUGUCAGUUGACACCAGGUGCUCCACUUUUGCAGAAGACCAAAUUUAGAGCCUUGGUUGUCAUUUGAUUGCAAAAAUAUUUGAAUUUCUUCAAUCGGAAAAUGAAUUUAAUUAAGUUCAAAUCUUAUAAACUUCUCAAGCUAAAGAACAAGUAGAUGGCACAUUUAGGUACUAGGUGCAUGAAAUAAUUAUUUCUCAUCAGCAGAGGCCAAGGUUGUUAAAAUCGGGAUUUUAAGUAGGAUCGAUAAAGGGUCCAUAAAAUCGGAUCGUAAAAUCGAAUCUUAAAAUCGUAAGAUUUUAGAGAUAAUUAAAAAUACCCUUUAAUUUUUGUAAAUAUAUGUUUAUAAUAAUAUAAUUUUAUAAAAAAUGAAUUAAUAUUAUUUAAUAACUUGAUUAUUCCUUAUUAUAAUUCAAAAAAUGAUACUUCCUAAAUAUAGCUCAAAAACUAGCAGGUUGGUAUAGGCAAUUUAGAGGCAAAAUAUAGGUAAUUUAGAGGUAAAAUAUAGCUUAAAAUUCUUUAGAGGAUGCUUCCAAUGUCUUCCAUUAAAUUUAGAUUGUAAUUUUUUCUUGAUUUAACAUUGAUUAAAUCAAGUAAUAUCCCAAUUUGGGGUUGGGUGGUCCAUUAAUUAAUUACUUGUUUGUCUUGAUUUACUUAUGCAAUCAAUGUUAAAUCAAGUAAAAAUUAUAAUUUAAAUCAAGUAAAUUGGAACUUAUGCAAUUAAUGUUAGAUGCUAUGUGACAUUGGAAUUUAUGUAAUCAAUGUUAAAUCAAGUUCCAAUUUAGAGGCAAAAUAUAACAAUUCAUUGGAUAAGUUCUAAUGUCAGAUGCUAUGUGACAUUGAGACGUUGGAAGUAUCCUCUAAAUUACAACUUAAAUCAAUAGAGGUCUUUGAAUCGUAAAAUCGUUCGGGGAUCUCUGAAGCGUAAAAUCGUAAAAUCGUACAUGUAAAAUCGAAAUUUUAUAGGAUUUUAUCUCAAAUUGGAUUUUACAUGGGAUUUGAAUCGUUUGGGGGUCUUCGAAUCGUAAAAUCGUAUGCUUAAAAUCGGGAUUUUAACAACAAUGGCAGAGGCUUUUAUUCCACGAUUUUAAAAAGAUAGCAAUAUUUCUCCAAGGAUGUAAACCCUAUAAAACUCAAUAAAUUCCCACAAGGGCUACUAACUAACACUGGUGCCAAAUUAGGGGUAUAAUCUAUCCUUCACUAAAAAUCAAAAGAUUGAUGGCUACUAAGGAAUCCAAUAGAUAUUCUUACUAGCUAAAACCUUUGAUACAAUAAGGUCACAACAGGAAGCAGGCAUUGCAGUGUUGUAAAUAAAGAUCAAUCUUUAGAACUAUAAGAUAAGGAUUGCAUUAUAGUUAUAAUGGUUUGAGUGCAUAUGACAGUUUAAGCUAUAGAUCUCUGCCUGACAUUGCUUCUAUCGGCCAAGAAAACAAAGCUAGUGCCUAAUUGUUUGCAAAGGAUCUUUGGAUAUUUGCAAAAUGAUUGACAUGAUUCCAUUAUAAGAUAGUUCGUUUGUCUUGACUGAAUGGCAUACUAGAAUAAUAAAACAUCCAGAUAAAGUGGUGCAUGAGCUGCCAGACACUCUUUACAAUAAUAUAGAUCAGAAAUACAUGGAGCUUGUUGAACCAUGAAACAGGUGAAUGGCUUCUUGUGGAUGGCAAUUAGCAAGUUAUGACAGGAAUCCCUGUGCAUGAAUUUUUUGCAUACACAACCCACCCACAUUCUCAACAUGAACAUGAUAGAAUGAACUGGUUCACUUCUAGAACUAACACGUGAAGAUAAUUAUAUCCGCUAGAACUUCUUCUAUGACGAUCAAAUUUCUAAAAAACACUUAAAUUCAAUUGACCCAACAGAAACUAAGUAGGAAAGGCACUAGAAAGCAAGAAUCAUUUAGGAGCAGUAUUAUACCAUAUUGACAGAAUUUGGUCAUUCAAUCUAAUUAAGAUCAGCCAAACUAAGUACAGAUUACUAGGUAAGUAUUAAAGGCAUACAUGUUAUUAAAAAUUUAAAAUACAAAGAAGCAUGUGAAGAAUACAACAGGGGAGAAGAGAAAAUUCAUUUUUACAGGAUUUGGAAUGGUCAGGAGUCCCAAUUGCCUUAGCAAACACAUUUUUCUAAUCCUCACUCCCAAAUUACCAUUAAUUUGGGAUACAGGUACACUGAGGAGGGCUAGUUCAAAUAGAAAAUAAUAUAUUCUAUCAGAAAAGGAAAAGGCAUGCCAAAAAAAUUGAAUCCGACAAUGAAGAAAAGAUUCACAACAUUUUCAAACUCAACAAUAGGCUUAUGGCCUUAGCUACUACAAAAAAAUGCUACACUAGCUUUGUUAGAUACAUAUCUCGUCCAACAAUGUUUUCCAGUGUUGUAUUAUACUCAUGAAUCAGAAUUUUGAAUACUGAUUUGGUUUACUCAAUAUGCUGUUGCUUAUAAAGUAUCUGUUUGAGCUGUGCAACUUUUGCUGCUAUAUUUGUGCUGGAAAAGAUAUAGAAAAUAUCUUUAACAACUAUCUAAUCUCUUUUGAAUUUUAAUUGCUUAGUUUGAAUAAUUCAAUUCAAUUUGAGUUCAAGUCAAAUUAGUUGCUAUUUUUUAGGAGAAAAUCAUGUUUUUUAUGUUGAUGUAUUGCUAUAAAUUAAGUCAAUUUAAUGAGAAUUAAUCAUCAGUUUUCAGUCAUCUAUUUCAACCUUUGUUCUCUAAUCUCCUUGUUAAUUCCUACAAAUUGGUAUCAGAGCCUUAUUGAUCUGUGUUUGAGAGUGAGCGAAUCUAGUGAGGAACCUUCUCUUUUUCAAAAAAAACCACACACCUAGCCUUCAAGCCAGAUAACAGCUAUGUCAGAAAACAAUUUCAUGUCAGCACCACCUAAUUUCACAAGUGAAAAUUAUCAGAUUUGGACAGGGAAGAUGGAGUCAUGCUUGCAAGCAAGUGAUUUAUGGGAUGUGAUAAUAACUAAAAUACCACCAUGACCUGAGGAUUCAACCAUUUCCCAAAUCACAAAAAUAGGACAGCAACAAGAAAGGGGCUAAGGCCAAGACCUGCAUUCAUUCAGUAGUUUCAGAUGAUAUUUUCACAAGGAUUAUGGCUUGUACAAUAGCAAAGCAAGCUUGGGAUACGUACGCUCAAGGAGACAUUUCAAGGAAAUGAAAGAACUAGGCGGAUGCAAAUAUUAAAUCUCAAAAGAGAUUUUGAGAUUCUAAAGAUAGAAGAGCAUGAAAGUGUAAAAGUACUCAGACAAGUUAAUGUCUAUAGUAAACAAAAUCAAAUUGAUGGGAGAAGAGCUAACUGACAAAAGGAUUGUAAAGAAGGUGCUGGUGAGUCUACCCGAAAGAUUCGAGACAAAAAUCUCAUCUCUUGAGGAUUUAAGAGACGUUAAUCAAAUGACUCUAACAGAGUUAGUUAGUGCAUUACAAGCUCAAGAACAAAGAAAAGCUAUUAGGAAAAAUGGGGAAACAGAAGGUGCAUUUCAAGCAAAGGAAAAAGGUCAGACUCAGUCAAGUGGCAAAGGCAAAAAACAGUUCUAGAAUAAGAAGAACAAAAAGGAGGACGAAAAUAAUGAUGAAGGUGGCCAAAAAGUGAAAUUUUCCCCUUGUCCACACUGUAAGAAAACAUCACACUUAUAGAAAUAUUGUUGGUUUAGAGCUAAUGUUAAAUGCAGGUCUUGUAAUCAGACGAGCCACAUGGAGAAAGUCUACAAAAAUAAACAACUAGGCACACAACAGGCAGAAGUUGUUGAUCAACAAUAAGAGGAGAAAUUGUUUGUGGCAACCUGUUUUGCAAAUAGCAGAACUAGUGAAGCUUGGCUUAUUGAUAGUGGUUGCACUCAUCAUAUGACUUAUAAUGAGACCAUAUUCAAAGAACUUGAUAGAUCAUAUGAUUCCAAAGUCAGAAUUGAGAAUAGAGACUAUAUUGAUGUCAAAGGCAAAGGGAAUAUGGUAAAAGAUAAAAGGAAAAGCUUUAUGUUAGAUUGUAUGCAAGCAAAUUCCUGUGUAUAUCCUAGUUCUCUUGAUCAAUAUCAGCUUUGGCAUAAAGGUUGGGACAUUUUCAUUAUUUUUCCCUCACCUUUAUGCAUAAGAAUCAGCUUAUACAAGAUUUACCUAGUGUUGAAAAAGAAACUGGAGUUUGUGAAGUCUGUCGACUUGGGAAGCAAUCCAAAUUGCCAUUUCCACAAAACAAGACUUGGAGAGCAAUGGAAAAACUUCAACUUGUUCAUACAGAUGUGUGGUCCAAUGAGAACUCAAUCCUUAAAUAGCAACAUGCAUGUAUUAUGUUGCAUUCAUUGAUGAUUUUAGCAAGAUGUGUUGGAUUUACUUUCUAAAACAAAAAUCUAAAGUUGCUCGUGUCUUUUGGAAGUUUAAAAAUUGUAUUGAGAAUCAAAGCAGCCAUAGAAUAAAGGUGAUUAGGUCAGAUAAUGGAAUUGAGUAUACUUUUGACAAAUUCAAGAAGUUAUGUGAAGAUGCAGGUAUUGAACAUCAAUUAACUGCAACUUACACUCCAGAACAAAUUAUGGAGUGUGUGAAAAGCAAAACAAAACAAUAAUGGAGAUGGCCAGGUGCUUGUUGAUUGAGGAGAAAAUACCUAAGCAAUUUUGGGUUGAGGUGCUUGUUGAUUGAGGAGAAAAUACCUAAGCAAUUUUGGGUUCAGGCUGUCAAUAUUGCAGUUUAUUUGCUCAAUAAACUACAAACAAAAACACUGAAGAACAAAACAAUAUUUGAAGUUUGGAUGGUUACAAACCUUUUGUACAAAAUCUGAAGGUGUUUGGUUGCUUCUGUUACACACAUGUUCCUGGUGUAAAAGGAGAUAAGUUGGAUUAGAAAGCUAAGAUUGGGAUACUAAUUGGUUAUGGCAACAUCAUCAAAGGCUUUAGAGCUUAUCAUUGUAACACCCCGCUCUCCUAGGGUGUUAGGUAACGUAAGAUUCUAGGGAUAUAUAUUUUUUUUCAAUGGAAACUCAACACAAAAACUAUUCCCCGAAUAUCUCGAUACACCUUAUCAGAAUAUCAACUUAAAAUCAUUAAUAAACUAAGACAAGUAAUUCACCUCAUGUAACGCCCCGUUUUUCCCAAGCGUGCGUUAACUCGAGAUUUCGGGAAUAUAUUUUUUUUUUUUCAACAUCAUACCCACAACAUAAGUCUCUUGAUAUACAUACCCUCAUCAUACUCGUUUCCCAACAAUCCCAACUAUACCUUCUCAGCAUUUAAAAAAAUAAUAGACUAAGACAGGUAUUAUCAAUCACAUCAGAGGAAGCAAGAUCGAACCUCGAUGAUAUAUAACCGACAAAUUUCUUUUACAAUUAAAUAACCAAAUCGAUAUUUCAUAUGAAAAUAUCAAAAUAUUACAUAACCUCUGAACAUCGUAAUUAUAGACAAAAACCUAUGAAAUCUAAACAUGGCAGCUACAUCUCAACGACAUUCUUCCCCUUGGCACCACUGCUUUCACUUAGAACAUUUGAAUAUUUCAGGGACAAAGUUCAAAUUAGAUGCUAAAUCAUCUAAGUGAGAGUUCAAAAUAUUUUCAUGAAUAUAUGCAAAAUCAUAUAUAAAAUCAACAAAUUCUGACAUGCACCAGCCUAAGAGAAUCCCACGAAGCACUUAGCCUUAACCGGGGAAAGUGCAAUCUCUCUAAAGGCGACACGACCACAUCGACCCAUUGGUAACACAAUCCUGCUUAAGAAGGACAACCUCGACAUAUGAACCCAGAAAUCACCCCAUUGUCAUUGUUAGGCAUUAUGCUCCUACUCAAAAGCAUUCCAAAACCCAAACGCAACCCUAGCCCCAUGAGUGUCACAUCAGCACUAUCCCCGGAAUCAACGACACCUUAGCCUUAAUGCUAUUGCUCAAAGGAACCUGAGGUGGUGUCCACUCUCAGCCCCGCCACUUGAGUACCGUAGGGUGAAAUCCGUCUUAACCCCGUCCCAAGUGGGUCACAUAGCAUUAACCCUUGGCACGCAUCCCGAGUGCUGACACUCGAGAGCUACGUCACAGGUUAACAACCCACAUCCCACGUGAUCAACACACAACAUGCCAAUGCUAAAAAUCAUAACACGCAUAACUUAAAAUCAACAUUUCGAUGUAUGCAAUUUAUUGUACAAAAUUCAAUGCAUGUGUAAAUAACCGUUUGGACAAACCAUCACAAUAAACCAAGCCAUAGGGAUGAAUACUCACAGUAAACCAUUCACAUGCUACUAUAAGUCUUUUCGGGUAGAACCACUCACCUUGGCUAAAUUCAAAUUCUUCUUGAAAAGCGUGAUAUGCCUUGAUUUGCGUGCCCACCUCGAACUUCGCACAAGUCACUUCGCCUCAACCCUCAAGGCACCCUAAUCAUCAUAUUUAUCCAACAAUUAUAAUUUUUCCUUAAUUUUUUCACAUUUUCCUAUUUUUUCUCCCAUUUUUCUUCUCUAAUAAUCCAAAAUAAAUAUCUACACAACUAUUUUCUCAAAUAUUUUUACAUAAUAAUUCAUAAAAUAAUUAAAUAAAAUUUCUAGAAGUUGAAUUACCAAAAAGCCCCUUGUCACGCGCCUUCACGCACUUGGCACGUGGGUGCAAGCAAAGGCUGGCGCGUGCAGCUCACACGCCACCGUCUUCAACCUCGAGCCAGUCGUCGGCGGUUACUCCGAUGACCCUGAAACCGAUACCUCCCGAAAGCCCACAAAGAAUCGAUCUCAACCCCACCACUUUCAGGCCGAAAGGCCACUGGAAAGCCCACCAGAAGUCGAGUUGCAGGUCGUGGUAGGCGGACUGCCUCGACUUUCCGACCACUCUUGAAACGCCUUCAAAUCACCUCCAAAACUCACGAAACUUACCAGAAUUGCUCAUCUUGCCUCAAUGAUCAAAAGCCCCUUAUUGGUUUCCCUUGAUUUGCCCUCAAAACCUAGCAAUUUGAUGCUCCAAAUUCGGCCAAAAACCCUUGGUAUUUAUAGGCCAAAACCGACCCCCACGUGGCCGAUUUCCGGCCAAAUCUUCUCCUACACGCCACCAGGACCGUCCUUGGCCAUGCCCUGACUAAACUAGGCUGCCAAAUCGCCGGAUUUUCCGGCCACAAAUCGCGGCCAGAUCUCCCAUUUUUGAGCAGAUUUUCGAAAAUUGCAGUUUGGCCCCCUUAAAUUUUUUUUUUUUUGCAUUUUGGCCCUUAUCCUCAAACCCCUGAUCUUUCUAGCACCAUCACUAAGACCCUUAAGAUUAGUACUUCUCAUUUCUCCCUUGAAACUUUUGAAAAAUUAUCGUUUUGACCUCCCUCGAGCAAUUUUAGAAAAUUACACUUAGGCCUGAUUGAUCGUUUUGACCUCAAAUCCACUCGAUUCAACCCGAAAUCACUUAAGGGUUGUUCUAUUCAUCAAAUAUUAGUCCUAGGCAUGCUCUGUUGAUUUUUUGGAUGUUGUCUACAACAAUUCAGUAUUACGACCUAUUCGGCAGCUGUAUUUUUACUGUACCAAAAACUAUUCCCAAUCCAAUUUCCUUUAUCACCAAAAAGCAUAAUUUAUUUUACUCGAUGAUACUAUAUCGCUUUUCUUAAUUAUCUAGGGUCCGAAGUACUCCCUCUGACUAAUUCGAUCUUCCAAAGUUGUGUUAAUGUACCCUAUAGUCACAUUUUUUCGCAAAUUCCAUGUAUGCCCUUCAUUAAAUACCGUUUAUAUCCUCAAACCAUUCCCGGGUAUUACACCUCAAAUGCGGAAGUUAGAUCGAAACCUCAAUAAAACAUAACUGAAAUCAUUUUAUUCAUAACAUAAAGCCGAACCACUGUUUUACAUGACAUCAUAAAAAAAAUAACAUAAUUGAAAAUGACAUACUAUAAACUAUCCAUUACUCACUGUCGCUUCUCAGCAAUCCCUUUUCCUUUCGCACUGCUGCCUUCACCUAGAACGUUUAAAUAUUUCAGGGACAUAGUCCAUAUUAGAUGAUAAAUCAUCUAAGUGAGAGUUCAGAAACACGUUUUCAUGAAUGAAUGCAAGACAUAAAAUAAACCAACACAACCCGGCAAGCCCUAGUCCAAGAGAAUUCCACACAGCGCUUAACCCUACCACGGGGAAAGAGCAAUCUCUAAAGGCCACGCCACCACACCGACACACUAACACAACGCGGUCCUAGCUUAAGAAGGGCAAAAUCAACACAUCUCCCCAACAUCUCGGGAACAAUCGUUACCACUCCCAACCUAGAAGGGUCACAUCAACGUAAGAACCCGGCUCAUCACAAUUACGUCAGGGAUCGAUUACGUUCCCACUCAGAAGCAUCUAGGAACUACAACCCAAUCCCAACUCAAAUCUCAUAUAUGGACCACCUAGUCGUCCUAGUGUAACUACCCUGGCCAUACGGCCUGGCACAGAAACCUAGGCAGCUAUCUCGGCAUGCAUACCAGCACAGGAUACCCCUAUAUAUUAUUCCGGCAACACCCUUGGAGAAUUAUGACUACACUAUCCAAACAACAUUCCAGGCUGACAUUCCAUAUGUAUAACCAAAAACGCAUGACAAUGCCACAUAUCACCACUUAAUGCAUCAUAUAAACAAUAUUUUAUAAAGUACAAUGCACAAGUACAAAACACUUAGGGACGAAUCUCCUUCAUAAAAUCAACCAUCACCGGUUAUCGUUUGCAUGUAAUAAAAUCGUUUUGCAUGAAAACACAACACACUUAAGUAACAUAAAUACCAGGUUUUAGGGUAGAAAAAUCCAUAAUAAAUCAAGUUUUGGGGCGAACACUCACAAGUCUACCAAAUUUUGGGAUAGAACCACUCACCUCAAAUGUAUUCAGAAUGCCUUGAUCUUCGUGCACGACCUCGAUUUGCUCGUCACACCUCAAACACCCGUACUUAUACUCAACCUCAAACCACGGCAUUUCCUAAACACCAUAUUUAAUUAAGGGAGCAUCAAAAUCUAUUUUUCUUAAUUUUUCAUAAUUUCCUUUAUUUUUCUCCUGGUUUUCACCUUGAUAAUUCCAAAAUAAUUAUCUUCUCAAACAUUUUUUCAAAUUUUUCAACAUGAUAAUUCCUAAAAUAAAUUUAGAAAAUACUGAAAUAAAAUACCAAAAUUACCCCUAUCUCACGUGCCCACACGGGCUCAGUGUGUGAAAGGUGGCGCGUGUAGUCACGCGCCAAUCUUUUUCCUCAAAUCCGGCCGCCGAUAACUACUCCAAUGGCUGAACUAAGAGUACCCCCAUGAAGCACUCACUUAAUCGAUCCCAAGAACACCACUUACAGACCGAAAACUCACUGAAAAAGCCCCCAAUCGGGCAGUUGCAAGUCGACCCUAGGCAGUCCGCCUCGCAUAUCCGGCGAUGCUCGAAACAGCCUUCAAACGCACAUAAAACACUCCCAAAUGCUCCAGAUUUGAUCCUUGAUCCCUCGAGACCAAAAGCCCUCUAUCCCUUACCUUCGAUUCACUCCCAAACACAAGUAAUUUUUGUGUAAAGUUUUGGCCAAACACUCACUAUUUAUAAGCGAUUUUCGGCCACAUCUCGGCCAAUCAUCUGCCAAGCCUUGGCCCCCAAGCCUCCCCACGCUGUAUGUAAUACCCGGGAAUAAUUUGAGAAUAAAAAUGAUAUUUGAUAAAGGGCAUAACUGGAAUUUUGAAAAAAAUAAGACGAUAGGGUACACUAACACAGCUUUGGACGAUCGAAUUAGUCAGAGAGAGUACCCCGGACCCUAGAUAUCCAAGAAAAAUGGUAUAGUAUCGACAAGUGAUUUAAAUUAUGAUUUUUAGUGAUAAAAGAAAUGAAAUCGAGAAUAGUUUUCGGUACAGCAAAAAUACAGCUGUCAAUGAGGUCGUAUUUCCGAAUUGUUAUAGACGAUGUCCGAAAAAUCAACGGAGUGUGUCUAGGACUAAUAUUUGAUGUAUAGAACAACCCUUAAGUGGUUUCAGGUUGAAUCGAGUGGAUUUGAGGUCAAACCCAUCAAUUGGGCCUAAGUGUAAUUUUCUGAAUUUGCCCGAGGGAGGUCAAAACGGUAAUUUUUUGGAAGCUUCAAUGGAUAAAUGAGAAGUACCAAUCUUGAGGGUUUUAGUGAUGGUGCUAGAAAGAUCAGGGGCUUGAGGAUAAGGGCCAAAAUGUAAAAGAAAGUUUCUAAGGGGCUAAAGUGCAAUUUUCAAAAAUUUGCUCAGAAAUGGCAGAUCUAGCCGCGAUUUGUGGCCGAAGAAUCCGAAGAUUGUAGCUGUUCUUCGACAGGGCAUGGCCAAGGUCGCGUAGGGGUGAAGCAAUGGCCUUUGAUUGGUCAGAAAAACGGACGAAUUUGGUUAUAAAUAGCCGAGUUUUGGUGUGGGUUUGCAUCAAAGAUUUUACUUCAGAUUUCUCACUUUUGGGAACGAAUCAGAGGUCGGGGAUAAGGGGCUUUUGUUCCCCAGGUUGUGAGGAGCAAUUCUGAGAAUUUUGAGGGUUUUUGGAGUAGUGUAGGGAGUGUUUUUGCAUAUAUAUACAUUUGGUUGUAUAUAUAUAUAUAUAUACAUAUUGCAUGAGUAUUAAAUCGGGUUGUAGAGUGAUCGAUCGAAGGAUCUAUUAAGGGGAUUUUGGUGGCAAGGCUAUGGGUAGAAAAUCUGAAAAUUUUCAUGUCAAUCGGAAUUCGAAUCGAAAGCCAAUUUGAUUUGCCGAAGUUCGGUGGCGGGAUAGCUUCGGCGGACUGUUUUCAACCAAAUCAGAAGGCUUCCAGUGGUUUUUUCCGAGCAAGAUGGGUACCAUUGGGAUCGACUAAGGGAGAGGAACAGCCUGGUGUCGUCGCUUCAAUUUUCCGGUGUGCCGUCGCCGGAGAAGAUGACCGGAGGAUAUCGUUGAUGCUCAAAUUUGAACUAGAGAGCACCUGGCACGAGAAUCGAGGUCGAUUGGGCACGCAUUUCGAGGAAUCUUGAAUUUAGCCCAAUGUUGUUUCUCUUGGAGUUCAAAGAAGCAAGAGAUCAUUGCUC